This 460-nucleotide ribosomal RNA is filed under the name uncultured bacterium. RNAcentral describes it as "partial 16S ribosomal RNA". It matches the Rfam family "Bacterial small subunit ribosomal RNA", at positions 338 to 795 of the family's 1533-position model. The record is from RNAcentral.
CCUACGGGUGGCAGCAGUGAGGAAUAUUGGUCAAUGGACGAGAGUCUGAACCAGCCAAGUAGCGUGAAGGAUGACUGCCCUAUGGGUUGUACACUUCUUUUAUAAAGGAAUAAAACGAGGCACGUGUGCAUUUUUGCAUGUACUUUAUGAAUAAGGAUCGGCUAACUCAGUGCCAGCAGCCGCGAUAAUACGGAGGAUCCGAGCGUUAUCCGGAUUUAUUGGGGUUAAAGGUAGCGUAGAUGGGUUUUUAAGUCAGUUGUGAAAGCUUGCGGCUCAACCGUAAAAUUGCAAUUGAUACUGGCAGUCUUGAGUACAGUUGAGGUAGGCGGAAUUCGUGGUGUAGCGGUGAAAUGCUUAGAUAUCACGAAGAACCCCGAUGGCGAAGGCAGCUUACUAAACUGUGACUGACAUUGAUGCUCGAAAGUGUGGGUAUCAAACAGGAUUAGAUACCCUUGUAGUC